Molecule: ribosomal RNA, 706 nt
Filed under: Limnoraphis birgei CCC 333
Lineage: Bacteria; Bacillati; Cyanobacteriota; Cyanophyceae; Oscillatoriales; Sirenicapillariaceae
Description: bacterial SSU rRNA
Rfam family: Bacterial small subunit ribosomal RNA
Source: RNAcentral
GUGUCUUCGGACACAGUGGCGGACGGGUGAGUAACGCGUGAGAAUCUACCUUCAGGUCGGGGAUAACCCCUGGAAACGGGGGCUAAUACCGGAUAGGUCGAAAGAUGAAAGGUUAACUGCCUGAAAAGGGGCUCGCGUCUGAUUAGCUAGUAGGUGUGGUAAGAGCGCACCUAGGCGACAAUCAGUAGCUGGUCUGAGAGGAUGAGCAGCCACACUGGGACUGAGACACGGCCCAAACUCCUACGGGAGGCAGCAGUGGGGAAUUUUCCGCAAUGGGCGAAAGCCUGACGGAGCAAGACCGCGGGGGGGAGGAAGGCCUUUGGGUUGUAAACCCCUUUUGUUAGGGAAAAAAAAAAUGACGGUACCUAACGAAUCAGCCUCGGCUAACUCCGUGCCAGCAGCCGCGGUAAUACGGAGGAGGCAAGCGUUAUCCGGAAUUAUUGGGCGUAAAGCGUCCGUAGGUGGCCCGGCAAGUCUGCUGUCAAAGACCACAGCUCAACUGUGGAAAGGCAGUGGAAACUGCAAGGCUAGAGUGCGGUAGGGGUAGAGGGAAUUCCCAGUGUAGCGGUGAAAUGCGUAGAGAUUGGAAAGAACACCGGUGGCGAAAGCGCUCUACUGGGCCGCAACUGACACUGAUGGACGAAAGCUAGGGGAGCGAAUGGGAUUAGAUCCCCCCAGUAGUCCUAGCUGUAAACGAUGGAAACUA